RNAcentral lists this ribosomal RNA (732 nucleotides) under Bacillus velezensis. RNAcentral's name for it is "bacterial SSU rRNA". It matches the Rfam family "Bacterial small subunit ribosomal RNA", at positions 441 to 1183 of the family's 1533-position model. Lineage: Bacteria; Bacillati; Bacillota; Bacilli; Caryophanales; Bacillaceae. The record is from RNAcentral.
GGGGAGGGGAGGAUGUGCAUUGACGGUACCUAACCAGAAAGCCACGGCUAACUACGUGCCAGCAGCCGCGGUAAUACGUAGGUGGCAAGCGUUGUCCGGAAUUAUUGGGCGUAAAGGGCUCGCAGGCGGUUUCUUAAGUCUGAUGUGAAAGCCCCCGGCUCAACCGGGGAGGGUCAUUGGAAACUGGGGAACUUGAGUGCAGAAGAGGAGAGUGGAAUUCCACGUGUAGCGGUGAAAUGCGUAGAGAUGUGGAGGAACACCAGUGGCGAAGGCGACUCUCUGGUCUGUAACUGACGCUGAGGAGCGAAAGCGUGGGGAGCGAACAGGAUUAGAUACCCUGGUAGUCCACGCCGUAAACGAUGAGUGCUAAGUGUUAGGGGGUUUCCGCCCCUUAGUGCUGCAGCUAACGCAUUAAGCACUCCGCCUGGGGAGUACGGUCGCAAGACUGAAACUCAAAGGAAUUGACGGGGGCCCGCACAAGCGGUGGAGCAUGUGGUUUAAUUCGAAGCAACGCGAAGAACCUUACCAGGUCUUGACAUCCUCUGACAAUCCUAGAGAUAGGACGUCCCCUUCGGGGGCAGAGUGACAGGUGGUGCAUGGUUGUCGUCAGCUCGUGUCGUGAGAUGUUGGGUUAAGUCCCGCAACGAGCGCAACCCUUGAUCUUAGUUGCCAGCAUUCAGUUGGGCACUCUAAGGUGACUGCCGGUGACAACGGGGGAAAGGGGGGGGGAAA